Molecule: long non-coding RNA, 460 nt
Organism: Gopherus flavomarginatus (Mexican gopher tortoise)
Lineage: Eukaryota; Metazoa; Chordata; Testudines; Testudinidae
Exons: 4
Source: RefSeq, a predicted model, not a curated record
GAUCCACCUACAGGAGGGGAAAGAUGCCAUGAGUGUGGGCCCAGCGUGGGCUGCCUGCCGGGAAGCCUUCAGAAUCGUAACAGCGCCCCUUUGGCCCGAGCAGAUGAACAACGAUAAUGUUCAGGAAAUAAACUGCACUCGGAGUGGAUGAGAAGAGAACAAGCAAGGUCCUGGUGGAGAAUGGCAGGGAAGGGGCUGGAAAGCUCCAAUAUUUCCUUACUUGAUCCCACAGUCAAUUCCGGAGAAGACAUUGAAGCCUUCAGGAUCGGUGCCCCAGGGAUGGUCGUGGGGGGUCUAAUGCGUAUAGCCAAACGCAGGAGUUCCAACCCGUGGACUGCAACACAACCAAUGCUCGUGUCGGCUUAUUAAGGCGUUCAGACCCAAUAGUUACCUGGAGUUUUGGGCCGGACGCCGUGUAGUGGUAACAAUUUGUUGCCGAAUUUACAACCUGGAAUGUUUA